Molecule: non-coding RNA, 708 nt
Organism: Triticum urartu
Lineage: Eukaryota; Viridiplantae; Streptophyta; Magnoliopsida; Poales; Poaceae
Source: RefSeq, a predicted model, not a curated record
GUGACAUUUUGGAAGCCAGGCAUUAUCUGCAGAUAUGCUUUCCCGGGGUGUCCCAGCGUAUUGAUAAUAAUCCAGCUAGGGCCUUUGAAGCUUAUCAACUUCUUCUCACAACUCUCCAGGAUGAAUUUGUUGGUGAAGAACUAGAGCUGGCAUCCCAGAUGGAAAAUUUUGUGGCUUCGUUGGCAUGUUAUAGGCUGUUAUACUUGAAGGCUACAAACCUUGCGUUUAUCAUUUCUUUGGUUCAGUGUUUCGCAGCAGAUACCGUAAAGAAGAGGGAUUACCUCCUGGGCUGACUCAGAGUGCGAACACUGAUAGGCGCCGCACCUCUAAACUAAGACUCACGUCGCGCAGGCACUUUCUAUCAGAAGGAUACUAGGAGAGCGAAGAAGUAAACCUCUGCAAAUUACUGUUUACUGGAAAAGUCAGGAAGAAAUGAUUGGUCAACAAACUUGUAUAUAAGCUCUGAGGUUGCUGCAUGUGCAGCCGGAGUCUCUUUUUUACUUGUUAUCAUUGCUUCAUUUCGUUCAUAGGGAUCACAACUGAGAAGUUUGCACGAUCUGCCCUUGUUCCUUCGGGGUGAGGGGUGAGGGGUGGCCAUACACGGUCAAACUGCGGUGCGGCAUGUUAAAACACGUGUGCCAUGCUUGGAGUAGUCGCGGUUGCGCUUAGACUUGUUGAAACGAAGGGGUAUUACUUGAACGGCCUGCA